CAGCCGCGGUAAUUCCAGCUCCAAUAGCGUAUAUUAAAGUUGUUGCGGUAAAAAAGCUCGUAGUUGGAUUUCUGUUGAGGACGACCGGUCCGUACCAUGUACGCGCAUCUGGUUCGGCCUCGGCAUCCUCUCGAUAGACGUUUCUGCGCUUGAUUGCGUGGAGCGGAUUUCGGGACUUUUACUUUGAGGAAAUUAGAGUGUUCACGGCAGGCUAUCGCCAGAAUACAUUAGCAUGGAAUAAUACUAUAGGAUCUCGGUUCUAUUUUGUUGGUUUCUAGACCCGGGGUAAUGAUUAAUAGGGACAAUUGGGGGCAUUUGUAUCAACACGUCAGAGGUGGAAUUCUUGGAUUGUGUUGCGACAAACUACUGCGAAAGCAUUUGCCAAGGAUGUUUUCAUUGAUCAAGAACGAAAGUAAGGGGAUCGAAGACGAUUAGAUACCGUCGUAGUCUUUACCAUAAACUAUGCCGACUAGAGAUGGGGCAUCGUUCACUUACGACUUGCUCCGCAUCUUAUGAGAUAUCAAAGUCUUUGGGUUCCGGGGGGAGUAUGGUCGCAAGUCUGAAACUUAAAGGAAUUGACGGAAGGGCACCACCAGGAGUGGAGCCUGCGGCUUAAUUUGACUCAACACGGGGAAACUCACCAGGUCCAGACAUAAUAAGGAUUGACAGAUUGAUAGCUCUUUCUUGAUUUUAUGGGUGGUGGUGCAUGGCCGUUCUUAGUUCGUGGAGUGAUUUGUCUGCUUAAUUGCGUUAACGAACGAGACCUUAACCUGCUAAAUAGGAGCGCAUAUCUCCGGAUAAGCGCCUUUCUUCUUAGAGGGACUGCAUGGCGUUCUCAGUAUGCGGAAGUUUGAGGCUAAAACAGGUCUGUGAUG
RNAcentral lists this ribosomal RNA (875 nucleotides) under uncultured eukaryote. RNAcentral describes it as "SSU rRNA". It matches the Rfam family "Eukaryotic small subunit ribosomal RNA", at positions 571 to 1469 of the family's 1831-position model. The record is from RNAcentral.